Molecule: ribosomal RNA, 330 nt
Filed under: uncultured bacterium
Lineage: Bacteria
Description: bacterial SSU rRNA
Rfam family: Bacterial small subunit ribosomal RNA
Source: RNAcentral
CGCGUAGGCUGUGCUGUAAGUCAGGCGUGAAAGGCCCGGGCUCAACCUGGGAACUGCGCAUGAUACUGCGGCGCUUGAAGGCGGGAGAGGAUGGCGGAAUUCCCAGUGUAGAGGUGAAAUUCGUAGAUAUUGGGAAGAACACCGGUGGCGAAGGCGGCCAUCUGGCCCGUGAUUGACGCUGAGGCGCGAAAGCGUGGGGAGCAAACAGGAUUAGAUACCCUGGUAGUCCACGCCGUAAACGAUGAGUGCUAGACGUCGGGGAGCUUGCUCUUCGGUGUCGCCGCUAACGCAUUAAGCACUCCGCCUGGGGAGUACGGUCGCAAGAUUAAA